UACGUAGGGCGCAAGCGUUGUCCGGAUUUAUUGGGCGUAAAGAGCUCGUAGGCGGCUUGUUGCGUCGUCCGUGAAAACCUGUGGCUCAACUACAGGCUUGCGGUCGAUACGGGCGGGCUGGAGUUCGGUAGGGGAGACUGGAAUUCCUGGUGUAGCGGUGAAAUGCGCAAAUAUCAGGAGGAACACCGGUGGCGAAGGCGGGUCUCUGGGCCGAUACUGACGCUGAGGAGCGAAAGCGUGGGGAGCGAACAGG
RNAcentral lists this ribosomal RNA (253 nucleotides) under uncultured bacterium. RNAcentral describes it as "partial 16S ribosomal RNA". It matches the Rfam family "Bacterial small subunit ribosomal RNA", at positions 524 to 776 of the family's 1533-position model. The record is from RNAcentral.